AGGAAGAAAAAAAGUUUCAGCUUAACAGACUUAGAGGAGGGGAAUCUGUCAAGUGGUUUUAAUAUCACUGACAAGGCUGAAGGGCUUUGGGAAAGACACUACCCUGAACGCAGCAGGGCUAACGCUGGCUCCGUUGGUUUUGAUUCCAAAACAUAACGAGACACAAUCUAGUCUGGUCGGAAGAAGCAUCCCUGCCUUCCCCUUUGAGAUCCUGCUGAAGCCCUCCGUGGCCCCUCCAGCCUCAACUGAGUUCACACUUCUCCUGGUUUGAUAUGGUCUUCAUGAGUUUUAAGGGGGAAAAAAUCAUCACCUGAUGGCUAAGGCCCUAGAGUUGAGCUUCUCUGCACCUGGAUUCAAAUCCUGCUUGAGAUAUUUGCUGGCUGGUGGGGAUACUAGAUGAGGAAACUGAGGCUUACAGAGUUUUGCACAUAGUC
This is a long non-coding RNA of Vombatus ursinus (common wombat), 434 nucleotides long. RefSeq lists it as uncharacterized. The transcript has 3 exons. Lineage: Eukaryota; Metazoa; Chordata; Mammalia; Diprotodontia; Vombatidae. The record is from RefSeq and is a predicted model, not a curated record.